UCUUCUUCGCAUUUUUGGAUCACUUUUUCUUCGAUCAUCUCUCUCUUCCUUCAGCGUUCGCCCCUACUAACUACAACCCCUUUUCCACGCGAAAAUCUCAGUCUAGGGUUCUCACAACUUAUAAUCCCUCAAUCUUUUACUUUUAUGCUUUAAUCAUGAUUUUCUUUUUCGUAGUUAUAAUUAUGACUUAAAUCAGAUUGUUCGAUUUUCCUUUUUUCUCUCUUCUCAAGGAUUCUGGAACACUUUGUGAUCAAUGAAAAUGGAUUUGGUGUUUGGUUACAAGGUUCAUCAUUGAUGGAACACAUAAGCCAAAAUCAAAGGCAUCCCAAAUCACAGGUACUGCAUUGUUAGAGGAAUUGCUAAAUGCAACAUAAUUUCUUGCCUUGAGGUUGUCAAUUGUGUCCACAUAACUCUGUACACGACGAACCUGUGUACAACGACUUAAAUGUGAGCACCUUUCACCAUCACUUUGGAACUGCAUUACAUAACUAAGUGGUGGCAACUAGUUUUGUAUCGUCUAUUCAUUAAUAAAGUUUUAUUCAGCAUCCUAUCUGCAAAUUGUAGGCAACAUAGAAAUUUUCAAUUUUUGUUGGUUUUUUGAGUUCCAGUGAAAGAAUUUUUGGUGGGUUUGAGAGAUUUUGAUGAUUAAUUUCUAGGUUGAAAAUAAUGGGGGUUAUAGAGAUAGUUACCAAUUGUUGAGAGAGAAAGUUGAGUUUUUUUUUAUGUUCACGUUCCUGCUACAAUACAACACUCCGAAGGAAAGAGGAUUUGCAUUCUUUAUGUUCACGUUCCUGCUACAAUGAUCCCCUAUGUGACCCCAAGUCGAUCAUUUAAUUUAAUCUUAACCACAAUGAAGUUUAAGGUAUAUUUUCUCUCCCUUCAUUGUUACUUGCC
Molecule: non-coding RNA, 894 nt
Organism: Cajanus cajan (pigeon pea)
Lineage: Eukaryota; Viridiplantae; Streptophyta; Magnoliopsida; Fabales; Fabaceae
Source: RefSeq, a predicted model, not a curated record